CUCAAAGCGAAGAAGAAACGAUCUGAGAGAAAAGAAGCAUGAAAAGGGCUAAGACGAAAGGUAAAAAGUUUAAGAAGAUAAGAUAAAUAAGAAGAGCGAAGAAAACCCAGGCUAAUUCCUCUCUCGGUACUCAGCCAACGAGAUACAGCACCGUGUAGAGUUACAGCAACAUGGGAAUUAAGCUCAUCGGCUGAUUCGUGCACACAGAGGGCAUAUAAAAGCAAUUUUGAAUGCAAAUUAGACUUCCCUUCCAAGGCAGCGUUCACCGCUGGCUGACCUCGGACUGAGACACGCAGAGGACAACAGCAGCUCGGGGAUGAGAAGAAAAUGAGGAGAAUGGCCGUGAUGAAAGAAUGACACUGGACACUGCUGUCCCUGCUGCUGCGACAACAGAUGCAGCUUCAUAAAUCUGUGAUUCCCCUGAAAGCUAUCGGCCUGAAUACAGACGACAAUAAUGUUGGUUCUCCGCUCUGAGGAGACCUGGGAGGGAAGAAGAACAGGCUGCAAGGUUUAGGUCAAGAGAAGUCAUUGUUAUCACAUUUAAAACAACGUGCUGUCCAAAAGAGAACUGAGAGAAAUUUUUAUUAAUUUACAUAUCAAGUUUGACAUUAAAGUUAAGGUUACACUCUAAAAACGGAACAUUUUAAACUGUUGCUUCUAAACUUUCUCUUUUGUUUCUCUGUGGUCAUUUUCAAUCCAUUUUAUGGUCAUUUUAUGCCUUUUUAUGACCAUUUUAAGUCUGUUUGUGAUAAUUUUAGGUGUUUUUGUGGUCAUUUUAAUAUUUUUUGUAGUUAUUUUGUGUGUCUGUUGUCAUUUUGUGCCUUUAUAUGAUAAUUGUUUGUCUCACUGAGUCAUUUAGUGUUUUUUGUGGUCAUUUUGUGUAAUUUUUUUCAUUUUGUGCAUUUUUGGGUCAUGUUGUGUCCCUUUGUGCAUUUUUGUGGUCAUGUUGUGUCUUUUUAUGGUAAUUUUGUGCAUUUUUGGUCAUUUUGCACAUCUUUGUGGUCAUUUUCAGUCUGUUUGUCAUCAUUUUAGGUGCUUUUGUGGUCAUUUUGUGUGUCUCUGUGACCAUUUUGCAACUUUUUGUAGUUAUUUGUGUGUCUCUUGUCAUUUUAUAUCUUUAUAUACAUGGUGUUUGGUUAUAGACAGUUAUAGGCAUGUUGAUUUUAGGCCUGAAAACAGCAAAAAUGUCAACUAUGAUACCUGUCAACUAUGUUACAAAAAGUCCCACAGUUAUAUAUUGACCCAAAAGUUGUUAUUCAGCAAAUUAGAUAGGACCUCUAAGAAUUUAUAAGUGAUUCUUUAAACUGAUUUGCUACGGUGAUGAUCUGAUAAUUGAUCAUUUGCAGCCUGAAACUUCAGAGAAUAUUAUUCAUAUUCAAAAAAUAUUAACAGUUCAUGGAAAAUAAAAAUUUGUAUAUUUAAAAACUAAAAAUUCAGCGGCUCAGAAACUGUAAAUAAGUCAAUAAAGCAUGUUUUUUUUUCUUGG
Amphiprion ocellaris (clown anemonefish) is the source of this 1486-nucleotide long non-coding RNA. The record is from Ensembl. Lineage: Eukaryota; Metazoa; Chordata; Actinopteri; Pomacentridae.